UUCCUUCCUAAUCCCAUU
This 18-nucleotide small nuclear RNA is filed under the name Arabidopsis thaliana (thale cress). RNAcentral describes it as "snRNA_02620". The record is from RNAcentral. Lineage: Eukaryota; Viridiplantae; Streptophyta; Magnoliopsida; Brassicales; Brassicaceae.